Molecule: unclassified non-coding RNA, 376 nt
Filed under: uncultured bacterium
Lineage: Bacteria
Description: contains 16S-23S intergenic spacer region
Source: RNAcentral
UCCGGUUUGUCACCGGCAGUCUGAAGUGAGUCCCCAACUUAAUGCUGGCAACACUUCACGGGGGUUGCGCUCGUUGCGGGACUUAACCCAACAUCUCACGACACGAGCUGACGACAGCCAUGCACCACCUGUGCACUGGCCCCGAAGGGCUGCCGUGUUUCCACGACAUUCCAGUGCAUGUCAAGCCCUGGUAAGGUUCUUCGCGUCGCGUCGAAUUAAGCCACAUGCUCCGCCGCUUGUGCGGGCCCCCGUCAAUUCCUUUGAGGUUUAGCCUUGCGGCCGUACUUCCCAGGCGGCACGUUUAUCGCGUUAGCUUCGCCACAAAAGGGGUCGAUUCCUCUUACAGCAAACGUGCACCGUUUACAGCUAGGACUAC